UGCUGCUGGCGUUUUGAUACUUGUUCGUACUUGCAGAACCCUCCACGACUCGCGAUAAACGGCAGCGCAGCACUGUGUCGAUUCCACAUAGUCAUAGGCCAGUCGAUUUAUUAAAUGUAGCUCAAAACGCAGUCGAAAUAUAUUAAGCCCAAAUCCAACUGUUUGUUUACCCUGUAAAGCCGAAGAAAAAGUACGCGUUUCUACCUAUUUGCAAGCCCACCAUUGGGCCAUUUCAAACUGGCACAUCAAUUUUGGUUUUCCUAUCCGCCACCUGGCGCUGGCGGCGGCUCCUCAACUCAGCUACAAAUUCUAGCAAGAUCGUAUAUGUAAUACUUGCCACACACAUACACACACUCACACACCAACACACACAUUCACACACACACACACAGAAUACAUAACAUUAACUACAGCUCAACAUGUUAGCAUAGCUGCAAGAGUAUUUGUAUAUUCAGUGUUUCCUCGACUCAAAAGAAAACAAAACCAAGCGCUAAACAAACAACAACUGCAACACACACACACACACAUACACACACGGACACUGCCACUGUGUAUGCAGCUGCUGCCAUUUGUUCGAUAAUUCGUUGUGCCCGGUUGUAACGGUUAACUGCCCCUCCUCCUCUCCUCUCUCUCUCUCUGUCUCUCUCUCUAUCUCUCUCUCUCUUUCCUCAUGGUAUGCGCCACACAUACAUGCUCACGCUGCUAAAAUUCGCCGUUAAACGCCGCCGCCGCCGCUGUUCAAAAUGACAUAAAAAAAACAAAAGAAAA
This is a long non-coding RNA of Drosophila hydei, 768 nucleotides long. RefSeq lists it as uncharacterized. The transcript has 4 exons. Lineage: Eukaryota; Metazoa; Arthropoda; Insecta; Diptera; Drosophilidae. The record is from RefSeq and is a predicted model, not a curated record.